Molecule: non-coding RNA, 634 nt
Filed under: Drosophila willistoni
Lineage: Eukaryota; Metazoa; Arthropoda; Insecta; Diptera; Drosophilidae
Description: Eukaryotic small subunit ribosomal RNA
Rfam family: Eukaryotic small subunit ribosomal RNA
Source: Rfam by way of RNAcentral
AUUUUGGUUGAUCCUGCCAGUAGUUAUAUGCUUGUCUCAAAGAUUAAGCCAUGCAUGUCUAAGUACACACGAAUUAAAAGUGAAACCGCAAAAGGCUCAUUAUAUCAGUUAUGGUUCCUUAGAUCGUUAACAGUUACUUGGAUAACUGUGGUAAUUCUAGAGCUAAUACAUGCAAUUAAAACACGGACCUUCUGGGACGUGUGCUUUUAUUAGACUAAAACCAAGCGAUCAAUUGAUCGUUAUAUUGGUUGAACUCUAGAUAACAUGCAGAUCGUAUGGUCUUGUACCGACGACAGAUCUUUCAAAUGUCUGCCCUAUCAACUUUUGAUGGUAGUAUCUAGGACUACCAUGGUUGCAACGGGUAACGGGGAAUCAGGGUUCGAUUCCGGAGAGGGAGCCUGAGAAACGGCUACCACAUCUAAGGAAGGCAGCAGGCGCGUAAAUUACCCACUCCCAGCUCGGGGAGGUAGUGACGAAAAAUAACAAUACAGGACUCAUAUCCGAGGCCCUGUAAUUGGAAUGAGUACACUUUAAAUCCUUUAACAAGGACCAAUUGGAGGGCAAGUCUGGUGCCAGCAGCCGCGGUAAUUCCAGCUCCAAUAGCGUAUAUUAAAGUUGUUGCGGUUAAAACGUU